Molecule: ribosomal RNA, 640 nt
Filed under: uncultured bacterium
Lineage: Bacteria
Description: bacterial SSU rRNA
Rfam family: Bacterial small subunit ribosomal RNA
Source: RNAcentral
UAAAGAUUCAUCGGCUGCGGAUGGCCAUGCGGCGCAUUAGCUAGUCGGCGGGGUAACGGCCCACCGAGGCGACGAUGCGUAGGGGUUCUGAGAGGAAGGUCCCCCACACUGGUACUGAGACACGGACCAGACUCCUACGGGAGGCAGCAGUGAGGAAUAUUGGUCAAUGGCCGGGAGGCUGAACCAGCCAAGUCGCGUGAGGGAAGACGGCCCUACGGGUUGUAAACCUCUUUUGUCAGGGAGCAAGGGGCGGGUCGAGACCUGCUGUGAGAGUACCUGAAGAAAAAGCAUCAGCUAACUCCGUGCCAGCAGCCGCGGUAAUACGGAGGAUGCGAGCGUUAUCCGGAUUUAUUGGGUUUAAAGGGUGCGCAGGCGGAGGCACAAGUCAGCGGUAAAAUCGCGGGGCUCAACCCCGCUCCGCCGUUGAAACUGUGUCCCUUGAGUGCGCGAAGGGUAGGCGGAAUGCGUGGUGUAGCGGUGAAAUGCAUAGAUAUCACGCAGAACUCCGAUCGCGAAGGCAGCCUACCGGCGCGCGACUGACGCUCAUGCACGAAAGCGUGGGUAUCGAACAGGAUUAGAUACCCUGGUAGUCCACGCAGUAAACGAUGAAUGCUAUCUGUCCGGCCGGAAUGACGGCUGG